GCUCAAGGAGUCCUCGCUCCUCGGCCUCCGAAAGUGUUGGGGUUACUGGCGUCAGCCGCCGCGCCCGGCCUAAGAGGGGACGCUUUGAAGCAGAGCAGAAUCGCUCUGAGAUUCCUGCAGGUAGACACCAAGGAUCUCCUCAGAGCCAGCGCUGAUCUCAUCCACAGAGGGAUCACAUGACCUCAUCUGGGAAAAUAUAAACCCUACCCACCUGCCUGCCCAUUUGGAAAUGCAGACUGGAGGACGCUAAGUUCAUUCUUACCUAUGUACUAACAAGUACACAAGAAGAUGCUCAAUAUCAUUAGUCCUUGGGGAAAUGCAAAUUAGAUUAUAAUGAGAUUCCAGUGUACACCCACUAGAAGGCUAUUAAAAAGGACAAUACCAACUGUUGGCAACAAUGUGGAGAAAUGGAACCCCUCCUACGUUUCUGAUGAGAAUGUAAAAUGGUGCAGAUACUUUGGAAAACAGUUUGGCAAUUUAUUAAAAGAUUAAAUAAGCAUAAACUUA
RNAcentral lists this long non-coding RNA (507 nucleotides) under Homo sapiens (human). RNAcentral's name for it is "HSALNT0359475". The record is from RNAcentral. Lineage: Eukaryota; Metazoa; Chordata; Mammalia; Primates; Hominidae.